AGACGGUUCAGACUCGACGGAGAAGGCGGAACUGGCGGGGGAAAGUCACCUCUCUGCAAGAACACCAGACGACUGCGAUGGUCCGAUCGCCCUGUCUCCGUGUUCUUCUGGGGCUGCUGAUGCUGCUGACGCUCGCCAGUCGGAGCUCUGCCUUCCCCGGCUUCUAUACCAUUCCAGACGAGGACGGCGCUUCCAAACGAGAUGUCCUUUCUAUGGAGACCAAGUCAGACAGAUUCUUCUUGGGGCCCAGAUUCGGUAAAAGGAGUCAAGAAAGGCCAACAGAUAGCGAUAAAGCUGUAUCCGGGCCAUCAGAAGGGAUGACCGUUGAGCUGAGCGACGGCCUCUCGUUCACCUGUGUUGCCAUCGACCCGGGAAACGUGUACAGAUGCCACCGGUCAGGCGGAUCGCGCUAAAUCCGCCAGGGCCCGUCAGCCGUUGGCCGUUCAAGGGAGGCGAAGAAGAGCUGCAGAAGUGAUGCAGGAAAUCAGAGCCGGCCGGUCACGCCGUACUUACACCAUCAACGUGACAGUGCCGCCGUGACGACAACGUAACGACGCCAACUCAGUGUCAUUUUGUGAUAUCCCCGUGACGCCGCCGUGAUACUACCGUGACGCUGCCGUGAUACCACCAUGACGCUGCCGUGAUAUCCCCGUGACGUCACCGUGAUAUCCCCGUACCGGCUGUCGCGAUAUAUCCGUGACUCUGUCGUGAUAUCACCGUGAAUCUACCGUGGUAUUCCCGUGACGCUGCCGUCGGUGGGCUGCCACAGACAGGUGACGGUCACACCGAGUCUCCGGCAGCCUGUCACCGACCCCGGCACGACGUUCAUAUUCAGAGGCCCUUGUCUAUUUCUGUGCCGACGGCUCGACGGUCUGGUGC
Molecule: long non-coding RNA, 879 nt
Organism: Amphibalanus amphitrite
Lineage: Eukaryota; Metazoa; Arthropoda; Thecostraca; Balanomorpha; Balanidae
Exons: 5
Source: RefSeq, a predicted model, not a curated record